Long non-coding RNA from Apis mellifera (honey bee), 1104 nucleotides. RefSeq lists it as uncharacterized. The record is from RefSeq and is a predicted model, not a curated record. The transcript is spliced from 3 exons. Lineage: Eukaryota; Metazoa; Arthropoda; Insecta; Hymenoptera; Apidae.
CUUUCAUUAAAAUCCACUGCGUUGUGUUUUCUUGUGAAAAUGGUGAAGGAAGUUUUGACUCUAGUCUUCUUAAAUGUGAUUGGCAUGAUGAAAUUAAAUAGAAGUUUGAAAAUGAUAUGGUAAGCGAUAUGUAAUUGAAGAAAUGAGUCAUGGAAAAAAAUUGAAGAUAAAUUUAUGAGCGAAAAUAAAUAUAAAUCUGAUGAUAUCUUCGUUAACAGUAUUCCUACGUAUUUAGAAGCAUUGAAAAAAAAAAAAAAAAGAAAAGGAAAUGCAAUGGUACUAGCAAUUUGAAAAAUAAUUUGAUAGGGGAAAGAAUAAAAGAAUCAGUUCGAGUUACUAUCAUCUUUAUAACAGCUUAUAUCAAUUGAGUUAUUUGACUCAUGAAAUGAAUAUCGGCAUUGUAGUUGUAUGCAUGAUGUCCACGACGACCACAGGAAGGAACUCAAGGAAGUCAUUCUAGAACCACUGAGGCCGAUUUUCAAAAGAUUGCAUGCAACGUAUAGAACCUGUCAUUAAUUGGUAUCCAAAGAUAUCAAUCGUGGACCUUCGAAAUAUUCCACUGGUCAUCGGAAUUAGAGCAUCAAUCAUCCGAUGAAAUCGUGCAAUUGUUGCGUGAUGAUUGAUGGACAGUGACUCGAAUUAGAUUUGGAGAAUAAUUGAUAAAAAGAUAGUAAUACUAACUAUAUAAAGAUAGUAAUACUAGCUAUAUAAAAUCGAUAAAUUAAGAAAUAUAGAGAAUUUUAUAUUUUGUUCGAAAUUAGAGGGUGUGUUCUUGUACCAAAUGCACGAUGUACGCAUCCCACGAUGAUCUCGCGAUGAUUUAGCAUCGAUCCUACGACAUUCGCACGGUGAUCUAGCGACGAUUCCACGAUGAUCUAGCGACGAUCUCACGAUGUCUCCGAUAGAGGUGUAAUGAAGUUGUAGCUGAAGUCCAGUCUAGACCAGAAUAUCUAAAGGAAAAUUGGCACAAUUUUCUGGAUUUAGAGAUACUGCCUAGUUCUUAGUAUGAUAUUGAUUUUUAAAAAUUUAUUUUUGGAAAAUUUUCGAAGGAAACAUUAAAAUUAAUAAUUAAUAUGAAUGAAUUCGAAAAAUGUAAAAUAUAAA